GGAAUUUGAAACGUACCAGCUCUAAUGUUUUCAGAACUUAAGCAGGGCUACGCUACUGUGUCGCAAACAUAUGCAACCACUAAGCAAAUCACUACAAGCAGCUGGUAUCGCUUGCCGAUGGGCAACACCUGGGACAUGGUGGGUGACGAAAGAGGGUCAACACUACAAGGCUACCGCCCAAUAGAAGGCCCAGCACUGAGACCCCCCCAACAUCACGAGGACUCUAUGCUACCACCUAAUCCUUAACCUCAGACCACAGGCACUACAGCGAG
Non-coding RNA from Pelobates cultripes (western spadefoot toad), 272 nucleotides. The record is from the annotation of a GenBank genome assembly. NCBI's taxonomy places the organism in Eukaryota, Metazoa, Chordata, Amphibia, Anura, Pelobatidae.